This 382-nucleotide ribosomal RNA is filed under the name uncultured eukaryote. RNAcentral's name for it is "partial 18S ribosomal RNA". It matches the Rfam family "Eukaryotic small subunit ribosomal RNA", at positions 592 to 976 of the family's 1831-position model. The record is from RNAcentral.
CAAUAGCGUAUAUUAAAGUUGUUGCAGUUAAAAAGCUCGUAGAUGGAUUUCUGGUUGAAGCGACCGGUCGGGCGUUGAUUCGUCUGCACUGGAGUCGGUUUUGGCCAUCCUCUAGGAAAGUGCGUCUGGUAUUAAGUUAUCGGGCGUAUGAUCCUGGUCUUUUACUGUGAAAAAAUUAGAGUGUUUAAAGCAGGCCUUCGCCUUGAAUACAUUAGCAUGGAAUAAUAAGAUAGGACUUUGGUCUAUUUUGUUGGUUUGCAGACCGAAGUAAUGAUUAAUAGGGAUAAUUGGGGGUAUUUAUAUUCCGAUGUCAGAGGUGAAAUUCUUAGAUUUUCGGAAGAUAAACUUAUGCGAAAGCAUUUACCAAGGAUGUUUUCAUUAA